GAUGAACGCUGGCGGCGUGCCUAAUACAUGCAAGUCGAGCGAACAGAUGAGGAGCUUGCUCCUCUGACGUUAGCGGCGGACGGGUGAGUAACACGUGGAUAACCUACCUAUAAGACUGGGAUAACUUCGGGAAACCGGAGCUAAUACCGGAUAAUAUAUUGAACCGCAUGGUUCAAUAGUGAAAGACGGUUUUGCUGUCACUUAUAGAUGGAUCCGCGCCGCAUUAGCUAGUUGGUAAGGUAACGGCUUACCAAGGCAACGAUGCGUAGCCGACCUGAGAGGGUGAUCGGCCACACUGGAACUGAGACACGGUCCAGACUCCUACGGGAGGCAGCAGUAGGGAAUCUUCCGCAAUGGGCGAAAGCCUGACAGAGCAACGCCGCGUGGGUGAUGAAGGUCUUCGGAUCGUAAAACUCUGUUAUUAGGGAAGAACAAAUGUGUAAGUAACUAUGCACGUCUUGACGGUACCUAAUCAGAAAGCCACGGCUAACUACGUG
Molecule: ribosomal RNA, 497 nt
Filed under: uncultured bacterium
Lineage: Bacteria
Description: partial 16S ribosomal RNA
Rfam family: Bacterial small subunit ribosomal RNA
Source: RNAcentral